CAUCUUCAAAUGCAAAACAGGUGUCCCGUUUACUCUCUCUUUUACUUCCUUCUUCUUCAUUAUUCCUUUGCUCUUUGAUUUUCUUCUUCUCCUUCUUCCUCUGUUGAUUAUUGGUCUCUUCUGUUUCUCUGUAUUAUUGUUUUUUUUUAUGUUACUUCUUUGCAUCCGGGAAGCGUUGCAUGAGAGCCAGACAAUUGAAAGAUUUGAAGCUCAGACAUGACUAUUGUCAACUGAAACUUAUGUACCAGCGGAGAUUAGACUUGGAUAUUCUGGAGUAGCGGCGCCAUCGUAAUCCUUUGUCCCUUUGAUUGGGUUGCGUUUCUAGAUCACACCUCUGUGAGCUUUGGUUUUAAUUUUUUCUAUUGCUUUCGGUGUUUUUCCUUUAUGGUCAUACGGAGGAAAUUUUUCACAAGCUAUAACAUUUGAUGCAUGCUUUUGGAGGUAUGCAUUUUCUACUUGGUCGGUCAAGCACUUAACACAGGAUGAUACCAGUAUUCUCACCAAGGUUAAAGUACCUCUACUAGUGUUUUUCCAUCAGCAUAUUUAUGGUCAUGGAUGCAUUUUUCAUGGAAGUGUAUGAAUAGAAUCUGCCAGACUCCCUCGGUAUGCCUUUUCUACUUGAUUCGUCGAAUACUUAACUCUGUUGGUAAGCUCAUUUACUGUCUAAUUGUGUUUAUAUCAUAGAAAUUCUGAGAUAUGAAGCUCAGGAGGCGGAUGGCCAGCCAUAGUAUUGGUUAACAUGAUAGACUAACAGUCAAGUGUAUUCAUUAAAUUCAUAGGAUAUAACGGAUUUCGAUCAUAUGUAAGUAAAUUGUUGUGUGAUUAUUUUAGCACCUCAGCCUUUUUUUUUUUUGAAGAGUAGGUUAAAUUGCUGACUCAAUUAUUCCUAAUUAUCUUCUCUGCUUCUCACUGGAGCAGAAAGAAGUUCAGAUGGUAUAUUUAUGCAAUGAGAACUUCAGUUGCUCAGUAAUUGAAAAAAAAAAGAUCUCAAAUCGCUGAUGGAGUCAGUUUGGCACCUCUUAAAUGGGCUUCCAAAUUGGACCUAUGUCAGGCUUUGGUCCAGCUGAAACCAGUUGCCACUAAGUUUCUUUGUGAUAGUUGAAUCACAAGACAUAUAAUUAUUAAGGCAAACUGAAAAAGCUUAUGCCAUGCUCCAAAUAUUGUUUCUUUUCUUUGUUUGAUUUUAUUGCUUUAAACAUUUUUUGUACAUGACAAAGUACGAGUUGAUUUUAACUCAUAUAACCUUUGUCUCGUAGGUAUUUGGUUCCAUUUUCCUUAUUACUUGCCAGCAAAUUGGUCUCUAUCUUGUGAAAAAGGUAUGAUAAUAGAAGGCAAAGAGCUUUAUUCAUGCUAUAGUUUUCAUUAUGCUUAAGAAACUUUGCACACUUCUCUUCUUAGAAACUCUCUAUAAUUGGAUUUUAAGUGUUAAGUAUUUAUCAAGGAUGAAGUAGUAAUAAAACAGAUAAGGUGCAAUGUCAAGGCAGAGGAUUUAAGAUUCAGAAAAGGGCCAAACAUACCCCUGUACUAUAAAAAAAGGGUCAUAUAUAACCUUCGUUAUACUUUGAGUCCAAAUAUACCCCUACCGUUGUACUAUUGGUUCAAAAUAUACUCUUCAUCCGUUAAGUUUGUCCAAGGUGGCCAUCUAAUCCUACGUGGCACUAACAUUUGAUGAGGUGGAUACCACUUUAGCUCCCCUAACCCAUUUUACCCCUCCCAUCUAUUUGUUCUUCCACCACUAAAUUUUUUUCCUCCACCACCAUUACCGCCAGCAUGACCACCCUAAUUUAUUUCAUCUUUCAAGCAGACAAACUACUUCCGGCUAAUAUAUAUGAUUCUAUUGUCUGUAUCUUUCUUUGUAUUUUUUUCCAAUUAUCCUAUAUUAUAAUUUACAGCAGCCAUAUCUUAUCAUAAUCCAAUUUCACUAAGUCGUGCGGGCACCUACCUUUCAUACCUCGGUAGGCAAACCUUAACCCAACAUUCACAAAUGAUAGAAAAUAGCGAAAGAAAGUAAAAUAACGUAAGUCUCACAGAUAUAAUAUAAAUAAGUACGGAAGUAAAUAAAAUCCACCCCAGUGUCUGGUCUGGUCAUAUAAGUCCGUCUAAAUAAAAAAAUACUACAAGUCUGAAUAAUAAUACAUAAGUGGUCUCAAAUCAUGUCUCAGAAUGGAAAACAAGACAUAAGUAAUAGGAAGAGUCUUCGGGUAGCGAACGUCCUCAUGCUCACCCUGAAGAGACUCGAAUCAGCAUUCCUCGAGUAUCAGCCACGAGGGGUAGAAGUAGAUCCAACCGGGUACUCUGCAUUCAUAAAAGAAUGCAGCAAGUGCAGGUCAACAAACAACAAGUACUGGUAGGUAUCGUAGGCUGACUAAGACUAGCUAACGUAUAUAAAGACAAAAAAGCAAGAUAAACACGUAAAACAAUAAGGUACAAGUCAUCACGAAUCCAUAACCAUAAUACAAGUCAUCACCUAUGUUAUAGCAUCUAAACCCAACUGUGCCAAGUAUUAAUAUAACCGUUCUGAACCAGUAUAUCACAACCAUAUCACAACAAGUCAUCACCUAUAUUAUAGCAUCUAAACCUAACUAUGCCAAGUCUCAAUAUAACCGUUCCGAAUCAGUAUAUCACAAUCAUAUCACAACAAACCAAGAGGUACAAUGUAAUGCAAUAAUGUAUGAAUGAUGAAUGCAAUGCAUAUGCACCGUACACAUGUACUCUGACCGAUGGAACAUCACAUCUCGGCAGCACAACCCAUAGAGGACCUGCGAAGUCUAUGUACCAAUCACUCCGCACACAACCCAGAGGUGACUCCAUUUCUACCUAUACGCGUCAUAUCAGUCAUUCCGCACACAGCCCAGAGGUGACUCGAUAUACAAUGUGUUUCAAUAGAAUUUAUAUUUCCUUCUCACUUUCCAUCCUCAGUACCAUAACAAUGCAAUAUCAAUGUAUCAUGGAAAUGAGUAUGAAUACGAUGCAAUGUAAUAUCAACAACCAAUUCAACCCCAAACAGUACCACACAUGACACACAAGUAAUAUCAAUAACAAGGCUACACAGUAAGCCACAAUGGAAUCACAUUUCUCAUCUUAAUAUCAAAUCAACUAAGGUACAACAAUAUCACAGUGAUGAUGGAACACUAAUCACCAAUAUCCGAUGUCGCAGCAUGGCAACGAGCCAAUAAGUAAAUAGAACAAGAUAAGUCAACAACGCAACGGGGUGGCUAGCCCCCAAAUGAUACAACAAGGCCCAACCUAAGACAAUAUCCAACCCAACUUCAUACCCGAAGGUUUACAUGCAUUCUCUCACAAUAUCAUCUAAACAUACGCUCCGCUAAUCGAAGUCUCACCAUAAGGUAAACUGUAACCUACCUGGAAAUCCGAACAGCAAAGUCUCCAAUAGUCAAACCUUAGUAUUUCCCUUCCUUUGAUCCUCGAGAUAAUGGAAGUCUAAUCAUAUCCGAAUUAUGAAAUUAGAAUCAAGAAGAAAUAUCAUUCAAACCUUACUUCUAUUCAAGACCCAAAUUCCAACCUAUGGAAUGGGGUUUAUGAACUAAAAAGAUGAAAUAAGGAAUCUAUAGGUCUCAACAUGAAAUUAAUAUUCUAGGCGAUCAAUUCCUUCCAAUUACAAGCUAAAAGGACUAACAAAUCACUUAAAUUCGGAUUCUAGGCAAAACCCCCAAAUUUGGGUAUGAACCCUAACUUCCAGUUCCAAUUAGCCGCUAAUUAGGAAGGAAUCGUGCAAUAAUAGUUUCUAAUCAUCAAUUCCAUGCUUAAUGAACAUAACCCGGUCAAUAAUUCAAGAUUUAAUAGCCUAGAAUGAAGAACCCACAACCUCUUUCAAUCCACCAUUUCUUAAGGAAAGUAGCAUGCUUAAUGGUUUCCUAAGGUGAAAAAUGAUACAAGGAAUGGAAAGAAAGGUGAAAGAACUUACCACAAUGAUUUUCUAUGAAGAACAACCUUGAAUGCUCCCAAAAAGCUCUAAAGUUGGAGUGGUAUUGAAUGAAAGAUUUAGGGCUCUUUUAACACACAUUUAAUGAAUCUAACUGCCCGUCACCAGCUUCCACGCUCACAUGAGCGCUUCAGUGGUCCCAGUGCCGCCAUAGCAGGCACUAGACACCAGAAACUCCCAAGUUUCACUAAUUCAACCCGAAAUCUCGACUAUCACCCGAGACUAUCUGCUCACAAACCAUAUAUGCAAACAUACAUAAAAACACGCUACGAACGCACCCGUGACCUCAAAAUUUCCAGCGGAGGUCUCGUUGACCGAGUCAAUCCAUGAUGCCACAAAACUAACUUCCCAACCCAAGUCUCAAAAUGCACCCGAGUGCAUUGGGAAUCGAACCGAAUAUACACACAAAUUCUAAAAGACCAUCCGGACCUCUCGAAAUUGACGGAUUCCUAAAAAAGAUCUGUUUACCUCAAAGUCAACUCUUUUUUGCUUUAAGCCUAAAUUUUUCAAAAAGUCACCCAAAUCAUAUCCAAAGACUUCGGGAAGCCGUACCCGAAGGUUCACAAGCAGCUGAAUACUUAUUCCAGAAGGGUUUAUUCGACCUAGUUGUACCACGUAAUCUUUUAAAAAACGUUCUGAGUGAGUUAUUUAAGCUCCACGCCUUUUUUCCUUUGAGUCAAAAGGAAAGCAAAAUCAAGUAGAGCACUAAGUUCAAUUAUUUUAUUUGUGUUUGUAGCAUAAAAGUAGUCCCCUCGGGUCAAAUGUGAGCUAAAAAAGCUCGGGAAAAGGGUCAAAAGCACUGAAAAGGCUAUAACGACCAAACGGGUUACAUAUCUGAAAACCCAUCAUAGAAAUAUCACAACUAUAAAUAGAGGCAAUUGAGUCCCAAGAUUUUAGCCUGUGUUAUAACUUGUAAAUAUUUCAUACAUAGCAAAGAUACUUUGAAUUAGCAUCUGGGUCCUUUUUAACGGUAAAGAUCCCAACUUUCUUGGAGAGACGUGCUUAAGGAAAGGACAAUAUAAAAUUUGGUAUCAUUUUAAAACCAGCUUAUAAAUUUAGACGAUUGGUAUAGAAAACUUCCAUGAGGAGUUGUUUAUUGUGGAAACUAAGAAGUAUAUAGAUCAUAAUAAAUUCCAGUCAAUGUUAGUUAGACUACUUGGGUUGAUCAUCUUCUCUGUGAGUCUCUUACUGCAACACGUUGAACAACUCCCAUGCUUUCUUUGUGUUAGUUCGAAUAAUGGGAGAUAGAGGACUCCCUUUCCCAAUUAUGUUUGGUGAAUAUUGACAAAUUAUGUAAGGACCUCUUCAUAAGGAAGGACAAGGGAGGAAGCAUAAGCCAAAAAGGUGGUCAUUGUACCUUUUUGUUAUGAUUCUUUUUUCGGUUAAUCAAUCAUGAAGCUCCUAUACAUUAGGUUGUCAUAUGAACAUAGUAACUAACAGGUCUAAUUGGAUAUUAUUACUAACAUUUAUCUCUGCUUAGUCAUUUAGAUUUGGCAACAAAGUUCGCAGGGUAAAAGCAAGGAGGAGUAUGUCUAGAAAAUAGAAACUAAAGGUAAAUCGAUACUGUUGUUUCCUUUGUUUAGACUUUAAUUAAUUUUAUUUUGAUACAAUUUUAUGUCGCGCGGUGUACUUUUGGGAACUAUGAACACAAUACAUUUUUAUGUAUUUUGCUAUUAUCUCUUGUCUGUAACAAGGUGGUCUUUAUGCUAAAAAUUGAUGCUACCGAGUUUUUCCCCCAAAUCUUUAGGAAAAUAAGGAUUUGGAAGCUAAAAGAAAUAAGCUGCGUGUCAGCGUUCUCUGUGGUUCUAAUAUUUUGGGAGUUCUACAUAGAAUAGAGCGUUGAAUUAGAACUCGAUUAGUAUUUGAUGGUUUGUCCAAUAAUAACGUUUUGAAUUUGCUUCUUUGAUAUUUUCUUAGAUUCUAUAACAACAUGUUCUGAUAUUUUGUCAAAUACAAUCGCAAAAGAAGAUUCAUGAAAGUAGAAGUUUAUGGAAUACUAGACUUUCAAAAGGGAUGCAUGAAGCAAGUGAACUAUGUGCAAAUGCUCGAACUUCACAUGGUGGAUAUUUCAUAACCUUUUGGAUAUCUUGUACAACUUUAUUUCUCAAGGAAUGUAUUUAUGAAGGUUCAAUAGUUGUGAUUAUUUGUAUAGCUUUACUCCUUUUUUUAUUUUUAUUAAUCCUCCUGAAUCCUUGAAACAUUGUAAGAAAACAUCUUUUUGGUGUUGAACAUCUUUUAUAAUCUUAUAGCUGUAUAAAUAACAGAAACAAUUA
This is a long non-coding RNA of Lycium barbarum (goji berry), 6216 nucleotides long. RefSeq lists it as uncharacterized. The record is from RefSeq and is a predicted model, not a curated record. NCBI's taxonomy places the organism in Eukaryota, Viridiplantae, Streptophyta, Magnoliopsida, Solanales, Solanaceae. The transcript has 7 exons.